AUACAAUGGUUUAUUGGCUGAAGGUUCCCUUUUCCACCUCCACAACCUUGAUUCAACUACUUUUAAAAGGAAUACUAUAAAAUUACUACAAAUGCACAAGAAGUAAUCUGCAUAAUCUAUAUGUUUGUUGUUAGACAGAGUCCGAUGAUUCAAGUCGACUACCCUCCCUAGCAAUUUGAAUCUAUAGAUCAGAUCACAAAUAUACAUGAAUCAGUUUCAAAAUGAAUGAAUCGGUAGCAAAUCAAUGCAAAUUGACUGAUCCACCCAAUUCAUUCCCAAUCGCAUUUUUAAG
Molecule: unclassified non-coding RNA, 292 nt
Filed under: Hevea brasiliensis (rubber tree)
Lineage: Eukaryota; Viridiplantae; Streptophyta; Magnoliopsida; Malpighiales; Euphorbiaceae
Source: RNAcentral